Molecule: ribosomal RNA, 992 nt
Filed under: Trigonopterus sp. 1072 AR-2022a
Lineage: Eukaryota; Metazoa; Arthropoda; Insecta; Coleoptera; Curculionidae
Description: SSU rRNA
Rfam family: Eukaryotic small subunit ribosomal RNA
Source: RNAcentral
GUCAUAUGCUUGUCUCAAAGAUUAAGCCAUGCAUGUCUCAGUACAAGCCAAAUUAAGGUGAAACCGCGAAAGGCUCAUUAAAUCAGUUAUGGUUCCUUAGAUCGUACCCACAAUUACUUGGAUAACUGUGGUAAUUCUAGAGCUAAUACAUGCAAACAGAGCUCCGACCGGAGACGGAAGGAGUGCUUUUAUUAGAUCAAAACCAAUCGGUGGCGGGUCAUAGCGCUCGUCAUCGUACAACUUGGUGACUCUGAAUAACUUUACGCUGAUCGCUUACGGUCAUCGCACCGGCGACGCAUCUUUCAAAUGUCUGCCUUAUCAACUGUCGAUGGUAGGUUCUGCGCCUACCAUGGUCGUAACGGGUAACGGGGAAUCAGGGUUCGAUUCCGGAGAGGGAGCCUGAGAAACGGCUACCACAUCCAAGGAAGGCAGCAGGCGCGCAAAUUACCCACUCCCGGCACGGGGAGGUAGUGACGAAAAAUAACGAUACGGGACUCAUCCGAGGCCCCGUAAUCGGAAUGAGCACACCCUAAACCCUUUAACGAGGAUCAAUUGGAGGGCAAGUCUGGUGCCAGCAGCCGCGGUAAUUCCAGCUCCAAUAGCGUAUAUUAAAGUUGUUGCGGUUAAAAAGCUCGUAGUCGAAUUUGUGUCUCGCGCCGCCGGUUCAUCGUCCGCGGUGUUAACUGGCGAGUCUCGCGAGACGUCCUGCCGGUGGGCGCGGCGGUAGCUCGCGAGGGCGACGCGCCGCGCCCAACUCAAUCCUGCCGCGGUGCUCUUCAUUGAGUGUCGAGGUGGGCCGGCACGUUUACUUUGAACAAAUUAGAGUGCUUAAAGCAGGCUAAAACUUCGCCUGAAUAUUGUGUGCAUGGAAUAAUGGAAUAGGACCUCGGUUCUAUUUUGUUGGUUUUCGGAACGCUCCGAGGUAAUGAUUAAUAGGAACGGAUGGGGGCAUUCGUAUUGCGACGUUAGAGGUGAAAUUCUUGGAUCGUCGC